Molecule: ribosomal RNA, 482 nt
Filed under: uncultured bacterium
Lineage: Bacteria
Description: partial 16S ribosomal RNA
Rfam family: Bacterial small subunit ribosomal RNA
Source: RNAcentral
AUUGAACGCUGGCGGCAUGCCUUACACAUGCAAGUCGAACGGUAACAGGUCUUCGGAUGCUGACGAGUGGCGAACGGGUGAGUAAUACAUCGGAACGUGCCCAGACGUGGGGGAUAACGAGGCGAAAGCUUUGCUAAUACCGCAUACGAUCUAAGGAUGAAAGCAGGGGACCUCAAGGCCUUGUGCGUUUGGUGCGGCCGAUGGCAGAUUAGGUAGUUGGUGGGUUAAAAGCUUACCAAGCCGACGAUCUGUAGCUGGUCUGAGAGGACGACCAGCCACACUGGGACUGAGACACGGCCCAGACUCCUACGGGAGGCAGCAGUGGGGAAUUUUGGACAAUGGGCGAAAGCCUGAUCCAGCAAUGCCGCGUGCAGGAUGAAGGCCUUCGGGUUGUAAACUGCUUUUGUACGGAACGAAAAGGCUCUGGCUAAUACCUGGGGCACAUGACGGUACCGUAAGAAUAAGCACCGGCUAACUACGUG